This 378-nucleotide unclassified non-coding RNA is filed under the name uncultured Latescibacterota bacterium. RNAcentral's name for it is "uncultured Latescibacteria bacterium contains 16S-23S intergenic spacer region". The record is from RNAcentral. Lineage: Bacteria; Pseudomonadati; Candidatus Latescibacterota.
UCCGCCUUAUCGACGGCAGUCUCCCUAGAGUGCCCAACUAUACUUGCUGGCAACUAGGGACAAGGGUUGCGCUCGUUGCGGGACUUAACCCAACAUCUCACGACACGAGCUGACGACAGCCAUGCAGCACCUGUGCACCAGCCCCGAAGGGAAGGUGUAUUUCUACACCAGUCUAGUGCAUGUCAAGUCUGGGUAAGGUUCUUCGCGUUGCAUCGAAUUAAACCACAUGCUCCACCGCUUGUGCGGGCCCCCGUCAAUUCCUUUGAGUUUCAACCUUGCGGUCGUACUCCCCAGGCGGAGCACUUAAUGCGUUAGCUGCGGCACGGGAGGGGUCGAUGCCUCCCACACCUAGUGCUCACCGUUUACAGCUAGGACUAC